AUGAAAUUGAAAGGAAAACCUCGACAGAAUGGUCGAGAAAACCAGAGAGAGAAGCCCGGAGGAUUGAAUAUUGGAGGUUGCGAUGAAGAUCAAAUGAUAGAAGUUGAAGUGACUCCUCAAGAAUCGUAUUCUGAGAAUACGAAGUCUUGGUUGAUUAACAAGUUGAUAAAGAUAUCAAUGGUGAUGAUGAAUAAUCAAGCAGUUGUGGUUGCGGAAAAUGAUGUUGUGUACUUGAAUAUUGAUAAGAAAAUCAAGAUGAAGUGA
This is a non-coding RNA of Vicia faba (fava bean), 264 nucleotides long. The record is from the annotation of a GenBank genome assembly. NCBI's taxonomy places the organism in Eukaryota, Viridiplantae, Streptophyta, Magnoliopsida, Fabales, Fabaceae.